UGCAGUUGCUGCUUGGGACAUUAAAGUUAAGUCAGCAACCGUCUACCAGACUGCAAGAUUCAUCUCUUCCAAAGGAUGUCGUACCUUUCCAGAUACACUGUGUUUUGUGUGGAUAAGAAAUGCAGAGUGGUACCACCAAUCACCUAAGCCACCAUUCCCCUAACAGACAAUAGGCUCAAGGGGACAGUUCCUGCAAUUUACAGAAAAGCUCUCAAUUGUAGCCCUACGAACUUAAGAUACUGCCGAUGGUGAAGCUUGGAUGCACCGGGCCGGUUUUCCAGC
Long non-coding RNA from Mya arenaria, 282 nucleotides. RefSeq lists it as uncharacterized. The record is from RefSeq and is a predicted model, not a curated record. The transcript has 3 exons. NCBI's taxonomy places the organism in Eukaryota, Metazoa, Mollusca, Bivalvia, Myida, Myidae.